RNAcentral lists this ribosomal RNA (1253 nucleotides) under Flavobacteriales endosymbiont of Diaspis manzanitae D046. Its description in RNAcentral is "bacterial SSU rRNA". It matches the Rfam family "Bacterial small subunit ribosomal RNA", at positions 107 to 1359 of the family's 1533-position model. Lineage: Bacteria; Pseudomonadati; Bacteroidota; Flavobacteriia; Flavobacteriales. The record is from RNAcentral.
UGAGUAACACGUAGGUAAUCUACCUUUUGCCGGUGUACAGCCAAAAGAAAUUCUGAUUAAUACACCAUAAUAUAAAGAUUCUGCAUGGACCCUUUAUUAAAGCUUAAAGUGGCAAGAGAUGAGCCUGCGUCUGAUUAGGUUCGUUGGUGAGGUAAAGGCUCUACCAAGACUAUUAUCAGUAGGGGUCCUUAGUGGGAAAACCUCCACACUGGAACUGAGACAAGGACCAGACUUCUACGGGAGGCAGCAGUGAGGAAUAUUGGUCAAUGGAGGAAACUCUGAACCAGCUAUGCCGUGUGUAGGAUGACAGUCUUUUAGAUUGUAAACUACUUUUGUUUAGAAAUAAAAGUUCCUACGUGGUAGGAAUCUGAAGGUACUAUGAGAAUAAGUGUCGGCUAAUUUCGUGCCAGCAGCCGCGGUAAUACGAGAGACACAAGCGUUAUCCGGAUUUAUUGGGUUUAAAGGGUGUGUAGGCUGUUUAUUAAGUCAGUAGUGAAAGCUUACAGCUUAACUGUAAAAUUGCUAUUGAAACUGGUUCUCUAGAGUAAGAUUGGAGCGUCUGGAAUGUAUGGUGUAGCGGUGAAAUGCGUAGAUAUCAUACAGAACACCAAUAGCGAAGGCAGGAUGCUAAAUCUUUACUGACGCUGAGUCACUAAAGCGUGGGUAGCAAACAGGAUUAGAUACCCUGGUAGUCCACGCCCUAAACUAUGAUCACUAGCUAUUGGAAAAACUAUAUUCAGUGGCUAAGCGAAAGCGAUAAGUGAUCCACCUGGGGAGUACGAUUUCAAGAUUGAAACUCAAAGGAAUUGACGGGGUUUCGCACAAGCGGUGGAGCAUGUGGUUUAAUUCGAUGAUACGCGAGGAACCUUACCAAGGCUUAAUGUGUAACGAAUAAGCUGGAAACAGUUUAGUCUAAUAAGACGUAAUACAAGGUGCUGCAUGGUUGUCUUCAGUUCGUGCUGUGAAGUGUUUGGUUAAGUCCUAUAACGAGCGCAACCCCUAUUGUUUGUUACCAUCGGGUAAAGCCGGGUACUCUAACAAAACAGCCGGUGCAAAUCGUGAGGAAGGUGGGGAUAAUGUCAAAUCAUCAUGGCCUCUAUACCUUGGGCUACACACGUGCUACAAUGGCUGGUACAAAAGCAGCCACUGGGUGACCAGGAGCUAAUCUCUAAACCCAGUCUAAGUUCGGAUUGGAGUCUGCAAUUCGACUCUAUGAAGCUGGAAUCGCUAGUAAUCGCGCAUCAGCAAUGGCG